This 431-nucleotide ribosomal RNA is filed under the name Paenibacillus sp. R-46269. RNAcentral describes it as "bacterial SSU rRNA". It matches the Rfam family "Bacterial small subunit ribosomal RNA", at positions 22 to 455 of the family's 1533-position model. Lineage: Bacteria; Bacillati; Bacillota; Bacilli; Caryophanales; Paenibacillaceae. The record is from RNAcentral.
GCUCAGGACGAACGCUGGCGGCGUGCCUAAUACAUGCAAGUCGAGCGGAGCACUUCGGUGCUUAGCGGCGGACGGGUGAGUAACACGUAGGCAACCUGCCUAUAAGACUGGGAUAACUAUCGGAAACGAUAGCUAAGACCGGAUAACUGGUUUUCUCGCAUGAGAGAAUCAUGAAACACGGAGCAAUCUGUGGCUUAUAGAUGGGCCUGCGGCGCAUUAGCUAGUUGGUAGGGUAACGGCCUACCAAGGCGACGAUGCGUAGCCGACCUGAGAGGGUGAACGGCCACACUGGGACUGAGACACGGCCCAGACUCCUACGGGAGGCAGCAGUAGGGAAUCUUCCGCAAUGGACGCAAGUCUGACGGAGCAACGCCGCGUGAGUGAUGAAGGUUUUCGGAUCGUAAAGCUCUGUUGCCCUAGACGAACAGCAA